UACGUAGGGCGCAAGCGUUAUCCGGAAUUAUUGGCGUAAAGAGCUCGUAGGCGGUUUGUCGCGUCUGCCGUGAAAGUCCGGGCUCAACUCCGGAUCUGCGGUGGGUACGGGCAGACUUGAGUACUGCAGGGAGACUGGAAUCCUGGUGAUAGCGGUGAAUGCGUAGAUAUCUGGAGGAACACCGGUGGCGAAGGCGGCGUCCUGGACCAACACUAGAACACUGAUGAGCGAAAGCCAGGGAGCAAACGG
This 249-nucleotide ribosomal RNA is filed under the name uncultured bacterium. RNAcentral's name for it is "partial 16S ribosomal RNA". It matches the Rfam family "Bacterial small subunit ribosomal RNA", at positions 524 to 775 of the family's 1533-position model. The record is from RNAcentral.